This 253-nucleotide ribosomal RNA is filed under the name uncultured bacterium. RNAcentral's name for it is "partial 16S ribosomal RNA". It matches the Rfam family "Bacterial small subunit ribosomal RNA", at positions 524 to 776 of the family's 1533-position model. The record is from RNAcentral.
UACGGAGGGGGCUAGCGUUGUUCGGAAUUACUGGGCGUAAAGCGCGCGUAGGCGGACCUGCAAGUCGGGGGUGAAAGCCCGAGGCUUAACCUCGGAACUGCCUUCGAUACUGCGGGUCUCGAGUCCGGGAGAGGUGAGUGGAAUUCCUAGUGUAGAGGUGAAAUUCGUAGAUAUUAGGAAGAACACCAGUGGCGAAGGCGGCGAGCUGGCCUUGAACUGACGCUGAGGCGCGACAGCGUGGGGAGCAAACAGG